This 497-nucleotide ribosomal RNA is filed under the name uncultured bacterium. RNAcentral's name for it is "partial 16S ribosomal RNA". It matches the Rfam family "Bacterial small subunit ribosomal RNA", at positions 28 to 507 of the family's 1533-position model. The record is from RNAcentral.
GAUGAACGCUGGCGGCGUGCCUAAUACAUGCAAGUCGAGCGAACAGACGAGGAGCUUGCUCCUCUGACGUUAGCGGCGGACGGGUGAGUAACACGUGGAUAACCUACCUAUAAGACUGGGAUAACUUCGGGAAACCGGAGCUAAUACCGGAUAAUAUAUUGAACCGCAUGGUUCAAUAGUGAAAGACGGUUUUGCUGUCACUUAUAGAUGGAUCCGCGCCGCAUUAGCUAGUUGGUAAGGUAACGGCUUACCAAGGCAACGAUGCGUAGCCGACCUGAGAGGGUGAUCGGCCACACUGGACCUGAGACACGGUCCAGACUCCUACGGGAGGCAGCAGUAGGGAAUCUUCCGCAAUGGGCGAAAGCCUAACGGAGCAACGCCGCGUGAGUGAUGAAGGUCUUCGGAUCGUAAAACUCUGUUAUUAGGGAAGAACAAAUGUGUAAGUAACUAUGCACGUCUUGACGGUACCUAAUCAGAAAGCCACGGCUAACUACGUG